GAGAUAAAAUUUUUAAGCUUCUAACUUUAAUUUAUAUGAAAUUCAUAUUUAUCUCU
This 56-nucleotide transfer RNA is filed under the name Tremex columba (pigeon tremex). RNAcentral describes it as "tRNA-Ser". Lineage: Eukaryota; Metazoa; Arthropoda; Insecta; Hymenoptera; Siricidae. The record is from RNAcentral.